Molecule: ribosomal RNA, 205 nt
Filed under: uncultured bacterium
Lineage: Bacteria
Description: partial 16S ribosomal RNA
Rfam family: Bacterial small subunit ribosomal RNA
Source: RNAcentral
CGUAGGCGGCCCAUUAAGUCAGAUGUGAAAUCCCGGGGCUUAACCCCGGAAGUGCAUUUGAAACUAUUGGGCUUGAGUAUGGGAGAGGGAAGUGGAAUUCCUGGUGUAGAGGUGAAAUUCGUAGAUAUCAGGAGGAACAUCGGUGGCGAAGGCGACUUCCUGGACCAAUACUGACGCUGAGGCGCGAAGGCGUGGGGAGCAAACA